Molecule: ribosomal RNA, 373 nt
Filed under: uncultured organism
Description: partial 16S ribosomal RNA
Rfam family: Bacterial small subunit ribosomal RNA
Source: RNAcentral
GGAGGGGACUAGCGUUUGUUCGGAAUUACUGGGCGUAAAGCGCACGUAGGCGGAUCAGAAAGUAUGGGGUGAAAUCCCAGGGCUCAACCCUGGAACUGCCUCAUAAACUCCUGGUCUAGAGUUCGAGAGAGGUGAGUGGAAUUCCGAGUGUAGAGGUGAAAUUCGUAGAUAUUCGGAGGAACACCAGUGGCGAAGGCGGCUCACUGGCUCGAUACUGACGCUGAGGUGCGAAAGUGUGGGGAGCAAACAGGGAUUAGAUACCCUGGUAGUCCACACCGUAAACGAUGAAUGCCCAGUCGUCGGGUAGCAUGCUAUUCGGUGACACACCUAACGGAUUAAGCAUUCCGCCUGGGGAGUACGGUCGCAAGAUUAA